UACGAAGGGUGCAAGCGUUACUCGGAAUUACUGGGCGUAAAGCGUGCGUAGGUGGUUUGUUAAGUCUGAUGUGAAAGCCCUGGGCUCAACCUGGGAACUGCAUUGGAAACUGGCUGACUAGAGUGCGGUAGAGGGGUGUGGAAUUCCCGGUGUAGCAGUGAAAUGCGUAGAUAUCGGGAGGAACAUCUGUGGCGAAGGCGACACCUUGGACCAGCACUGACACUGAGGCACGAAAGCGUGGGGAGCAAACAGG
This 253-nucleotide ribosomal RNA is filed under the name uncultured bacterium. RNAcentral's name for it is "partial 16S ribosomal RNA". It matches the Rfam family "Bacterial small subunit ribosomal RNA", at positions 524 to 776 of the family's 1533-position model. The record is from RNAcentral.